RNAcentral lists this transfer RNA (68 nucleotides) under Marmota monax (woodchuck). RNAcentral describes it as "tRNA.Ala". Lineage: Eukaryota; Metazoa; Chordata; Mammalia; Rodentia; Sciuridae. The record is from RNAcentral.
GGUUUGUGGUUCAGUGGUAGAGUGGUUGCCUAGCAUGCAUGAGGCACUGGGUUCUAUCCUCAGCACCA